GCUUACGGCCACACCUCCCUGAGCACUCUGAUCUCGGAAGCUAAGCAGGGUCGGGCCCGGUUAGUACUUGGAUGGGAGACCGCCUGGGAAUACCAGGUGCUGUAAGCC
Molecule: ribosomal RNA, 108 nt
Filed under: Esox lucius (northern pike)
Lineage: Eukaryota; Metazoa; Chordata; Actinopteri; Esociformes; Esocidae
Source: RNAcentral